RNAcentral lists this ribosomal RNA (500 nucleotides) under uncultured bacterium. RNAcentral's name for it is "partial 16S ribosomal RNA". It matches the Rfam family "Bacterial small subunit ribosomal RNA", at positions 30 to 523 of the family's 1533-position model. The record is from RNAcentral.
AUUGAACGCUGGCGGCAUGCUUUACACAUGCAAGUCGAACGGUAACAGGGUGCUUGCACCGCUGACGAGUGGCGAACGGGUGAGUAAUGCGUCGGAACGUGCCGAGUAGUGGGGGAUAACGCAGCGAAAGUUGUGCUAAUACCGCAUACGUACUGAGGUAGAAAGUGGGGGACCUUCGGGCCUCACGCUAUUCGAGCGGCCGACGUCUGAUUAGCUAGUAGGUGUGGUAAAGGCUCACCUAGGCGACGAUCAGUAGCGGGUCUGAGAGGAUGAUCCGCCACACUGGGACUGAGACACGGCCCAGACUCCUACGGGAGGCAGCAGUGGGGAAUUUUGGACAAUGGGCGAAAGCCUGACCCAGCCAUGCCGCGUGUCUGAAGAAGGCCUUCGGGUUGUAAAGGACUUUUGUCAGGGAGGAAAUCCCUAGUGCUAAUAACACUGGGGGAUGACAGUACCUGAAGAAUAAGCACCGGCUAACUACGUGCCAGCCGCCGCGGUAA